CAGCCGCCACGGUAACACGUAGGGUGCAAGCGUUAAUCGGAAUUACUGGGCGUAAAGCGUGCGCAGGCGGUUAUAUAAGACAGAUGUGAAAUCCCCGGGCUCAACCUGGGAACUGCAUUUGUGACUGUAUAGCUAGAGUACGGCAGAGGGGGAUGGAAUUCCGCGUGUAGCAGUGAAAUGCGUAGAUAUGCGGAGGAACACCGAUGGGGAAGGCAAUCCCCUGGGCCUGUACUGACGCUCAUGCACGAAAGCGUGGGGAGCAAACAGGAUUAGAUACCCCUGUAGUCCCUGUCUCUUAUAC
This 301-nucleotide ribosomal RNA is filed under the name uncultured bacterium. RNAcentral's name for it is "partial 16S ribosomal RNA". It matches the Rfam family "Bacterial small subunit ribosomal RNA", at positions 509 to 807 of the family's 1533-position model. The record is from RNAcentral.